Long non-coding RNA from Chenopodium quinoa (quinoa), 2936 nucleotides. RefSeq lists it as uncharacterized. The transcript has 2 exons. The record is from RefSeq and is a predicted model, not a curated record. Lineage: Eukaryota; Viridiplantae; Streptophyta; Magnoliopsida; Caryophyllales; Amaranthaceae.
AAUUGUGAAUUGUGAUCUACACACGUUGAAGGAAUGGAGUUCGGAAUUAUUCCCUUUUGGCCUUUUUUUUAGUUGAGCUACAAAGUCAUUACUUACUGUAUUACUUGUUCAAUAUAUGCAGGUGCUGAGAUAAAAAGUGGAGGCUCCCUGAAGGUGAACCCUUGGUAGAGGCAAGAUGUUGCAUCUAUCGCAGAUGAAAUAGGAGAUUUUUGUCUUUCUCAACUUCACUGUAUGUUUGUCUGACAUCAAUUUUUGUAAUAUUUCAUUGCUUGAUCCUUUUGGUAGGUCUGUAUUGGGGAGAUCAAGAAGGACAAAGGAAAUGAUUAUAUUCGCCUUUAUGUUCAUAAGAAUGGUCAAAAGUUUAUUGCUGGAAUGCUUUCCCUUGAAAGGAUUCCUCAAGUAACUCUUGAUCUAAUAUUUGAAGAUGAGUUUGACCUGUCUCAUGAUUUGAAACAAGGAAGUGUACACAUUAUUGGAUAUAGAGUUGAUGAUUCUAAAUCAUAUCCUUUAUAGCUUCCAAGAUCAUAUUCAAUUUUGAUUUUCUUCCUUAUUUUGGCUUCAAUUUUUCUUUUGAUUAUUCAUAGUGGUAUAUCCUGUUGCAAUAAUCAUAGUGUGCUUUCUUGUAUCCUCCUUGACCUUGUCUGUCAUUUACAUCCACUGAUGAGGAUGUAUCUGGUAAGAAUUUCACCUUCAGUAUGAGUUUCCAUACCUUCUGUCUCAUAUUUUAAUAUUCAGAGGAUGAUCUUGAGGAGCUUGUGCCAAUUGAAGCCUUGAACAAUGGAAAGCCCGAAGCAAAUGAUUUAAAGCCUUCAAGGUCCAAACCCAAUGCAGGUUUGAAAUUUGAAAAGGCAGAAGGUACGUCAAAGGUGAAGAUUGUGGAGCCUAGCAAAGAUGCCAAAAAGAAUGUGGAGGAUGACAAACUGAGGAUGAUGAAAAUGACGAUGAGGAUGAUGAAUCAUUUGAGGAUGAGGGUGAAGCAGAUGAGGUAAUUUGCUUUUUAUAUUUAAUUACUUGGAGGCUAUGUUAACUUCAGAAACCUAAGUGCUUGGUUUUUGAUUUUAUUGGGUCAAUGUGCCUGAAGAACAAUGUAUUAUUAUCAUAUACUUUCUUAUUGAGUACUUUUAUUGUUUUAUGACUAUUCAUCCCACUUGAUAUUAUGAUAGUGCUUGCAUAUUAAGGUAUUUUGUUUAUUUGAUUAUUGUAAGGCCAAUUGCUGUAUUGCUAGAUCUUCCCAAUGUCCUUCUUAUGUUUAUUGGUUAGAUUUGGUUCGCUCUAAUGUGUUCCAUGUAAUGCUUUGCUAAAGUGAUAAGUGAACUUCAGCUUUGUUUCUUGGGAUAUUGUAUACUGUUUAAUAUUUCCCUGUAUGUCUUUGCCAAUGCCAUCCUCUGCUUCUAGAUUUUGGAGACAUGUGUUAGGAUUUCUACCUUCAACAAACCACAAUAGCGAAGAUUUGAUUUGUAAAUUUGAAAUGUAUUCAUGUUGCGGUAUGGCUGAGUUAUAAAAGUAAAGUGUAUUGUUGAGUCACACUACUACAAAAUUGGCCAAAGAGACCCGUCCAAAUUGGCCAAAGAGACUGCCUUAGAGGCGGAAAAAAAUGAGACCGCCUAACUAAGAUAGGCAUUCUCAUUUUAUAAAAAAAUUAGACCGCCUAUUUAAAAUAGGUAGUCUCAUUUUUCAGAAAAAAUGAGAUCGCUUAUUUAACUAAACAGGUCUCAUUGGCCUCAUUUUAAAAAAAAAUUAUUUUAAUUCUAAAAUAUAACUUACUGUAUUUUUAUUUUUAAGAUUAUCGAAUACGUACGGAAUACAAAUAAUUAUUAAAUUUCAUAUAUACCUCAAAAUUACAAACUUAAUACAAAUAUCAAUGAAAUCCAACACUAAAAAAACACUGUAAAUGUUAACUUCAACUCUUCAAGCUUCAAAGAUUUUCAAUUAUAAAUUUCUUCACUUCAAACUUGUAGAUCUUUACCUGAAACCACAAAUACAAAGACAUAAAAAAAAGUUACAAAAACAUAAAUUAACCUCCUGAACAAUAAAUCAAAACAAUUUUGUUAAAAUGCUAUAACAAUUAAACAAGGAAAAAAACUGUAAAUCACUCUAAACCCUAAAUCUCUUAUAACUAAUAUAAUGAAAAACUUAUAACUAAUGAAAUAAGAGAUCUAAAGUAAAAUUUUGUUAAAAUGAUGACUAAACAUAAAAUCAAAGCAAAGAAUCUCCACAUGAUACUCACAAGUGACAACCUUAAUUCAAAAAACCCCAAGACUAAAUAAAAUUUUAAAAAAGAAAUAUUUAAAGAAAAAUUAAAGAUAAGACUAAAAACUUACAGAAAUCCCAUUAUCAACUAAUGAAGCAAAAUCUAGCAGCAAAAUGUAAAAAUAUAUCAAAAUAAAAAUUGAAUUAAAAGACGAAAAAUUGAGGAAAAAAAGGAAGAUGUUAGUAAAAUUUUAUAAAUCUUGAAAUUGGCAUGAAAAAUUCAAGAAGAAAUAACAAAAUCAAGAACAAAAUUCAUAAAAAAAAAAAAAAAAGAAAUAGAAGAGGAACCAGCCUUCUCCGUGCCUUGCAUGCUCGAUCUAGUCGGUUUAACGAAAGAAAUAACAAAAUCAAACCAAAUCAACUAAAUCGAAUUUCCGAACAAAACCACAACGAAGCAAAUUGAUUAUUUUCAAACAAAAGAAAUCUGAAUCGAAGAGAUUGAGUUUUCGAACCAAAAUCAAACUGAAUCGAACAAAUACAAAGAAAUCGAGAAUAAUAAAAUGAGAUUGGAGAUAAGAUCAUCCACAAAAAAACCCCUAAAAAUCUUGUGGAUGUGCUAUGUGCUUACAGGAAUUAUUGCCUUAAAGAAGAAAGAAUGGAGGAAAGAGAGGAUGGAGAAGAAGGGGGAGAAAAGAUGGAGGCGCGGAAAUGAACUGAGGAAAGUUGAAGCAAUUAGGGUUUUAUUU